CUACGGGCGGCAGCAGUGGGGAAUUUUGGACAAUGGGCGCAAGCCUGAUCCAGCCAUUCCGCGUGAGUGAAGAAGGCCUUCGGGUUGUAAAGCUCUUUCGCAAGGGAAGAAAACUUACUUUCUAAUAAAGAGUGAGGUUGACGGUACCUUGAUAAGAAGCACCGGCUAACUACGUGCCAGCAGCCGCGGUAAUACGUAGGGUGCGAGCGUUAAUCGGAAUUACUGGGCGUAAAGCGUGCGCAGGCGGUUUUGUAAGUCAGAUGUGAAAUCCCCGAGCUCAACUUGGGAACUGCGUUUGAAACUACAAGACUAGAGUAUGUCAGGGGGGGGUAGAAUUCCACGUGUAGCAGUGAAAUGCGUAGAGAUGUGGAGGAAUACCAAUGGCGAAGGCAGCCCCCUGGGAUAAUAUUGACGCUCAUGCACGAAAGCGUGGGGAGCAAACAGGAUUAGAUACCCCCGUAGUC
RNAcentral lists this ribosomal RNA (464 nucleotides) under uncultured bacterium. RNAcentral describes it as "partial 16S ribosomal RNA". It matches the Rfam family "Bacterial small subunit ribosomal RNA", at positions 339 to 795 of the family's 1533-position model. The record is from RNAcentral.